RNAcentral lists this ribosomal RNA (465 nucleotides) under uncultured bacterium. Its description in RNAcentral is "partial 16S ribosomal RNA". It matches the Rfam family "Bacterial small subunit ribosomal RNA", at positions 28 to 507 of the family's 1533-position model. The record is from RNAcentral.
GAUGAACGCUGGCGGCGUGCUUAACACAUGCAAGUCGAACGGAAAGGCUCCUGCUUGCAGGGGUACUCGAGUGGCGAACGGGUGAGUAACACGUGGGUGAUCUGCCCUGCACUUCGGGAUAAGCCAGGGAAACUGGGUCUAAUACCGGAUAGGACGAUGGUUUGGAUGCCAUUGUGGAAAGUUUUUCGGUGUGGGAUGAGCUCGCGGCCUAUCAGCUUGUUGGUGGGGUAAUGGCCUACCAAGGCGUCGACGGGUAGCCGGCCUGAGAGGGUGUACGGCCACAUUGGGACUGAGAUACGGCCCAGACUCCUACGGGAGGCAGCAGUGGGGAAUAUUGCACAAUGGGCGCAAGCCUGAUGCAGCGACGCCGCGUGGGGGAUGACGGCCUUCGGGUUGUAAACUCCUUUCGCUAGGGACGAAGCGCAAGUGACGGUACCUGGAGAAGAAGCACCGGCUAACUACGUG